AAUGGUGAUAUAAAUAGAAAAAUAAAAUUAAUUUUCCCGAAAAUAAAAGAUCUACUUAUUUACACUUUCUUAGAAAUGUUUAAUUUUAAUGUUGCAUAAUUAUAAUAAAAUAGAUAGGUAGUUGCGAAACGCAUACAAUUUUAUUGAUAUCUGGAUUAAAAAGAAAUAUAUUUAGUAUACAAGACAGUCUAAAAUCGAUAAGGAUUUUUAAUUAGUGAAUAAUUAAUUUUAAGUUGACUAUCAGUUAGUAGAACUAACCAAUAAUUAAUUUUAAAAUAGUAUAAAUUUUAUAAAAAAUCACAUAAAUCUUUUUACUUAAGUUUAAACUUUAAAAAUUUGUUGAUAAUGUAUCAAUUAGUAGUUAAAUUAUAAGUAUAAGUAAGGAACUCGACAAAAAUACUAUACGACUGUUUAUCAAAAACAUAACCUAAAGUAUAUUUUUAAGGUGAAGUCCGCCCAGUGAAAAUUUUAACGGCCGCAGUACUUUGACUGUGCAAAGGUAGCAUAAUAACUUGGCUUUUAAUUGGAGUCUGGAAUGAGAGAAAAUACGUAUAAAAAUUGUCUCACAAAUAUUAUAUUAAAAUUAUUUUAAGAAGUGAAAAUACUUCUAUAAUUAACAAAAGACGAGAAGACCCUUAGAAUUUUUACUAGAAGUAUUAAUUGUUUACUAAAGUUUUAGUUGGGGCAACUCUAUUUCAAACUAAAUAAAUAGUUAAAAAUAAAAUAUAUACCGAUUUUAUAUAAAAAAAUAAAUUACCUAAGGGAUAACAGCAUAAUUCUAAUUGUUGAGAUUGUGACCUCGAUGUUGGACUAGGUGUUGUUAAAGCUAAACGUUUUUGCAUAUAUUGUUCUGUUCGAACUUAUUUACCUACAUGAUCUGAGUUCAGACCGGCGUAAGCCAGGUCAGUUUCUAUCUUUUUUGUAGUAUAAGUUAGUACGAA
RNAcentral lists this ribosomal RNA (941 nucleotides) under Agathylla exarata. Its description in RNAcentral is "partial 16S large subunit ribosomal RNA". The record is from RNAcentral. Lineage: Eukaryota; Metazoa; Mollusca; Gastropoda; Stylommatophora; Clausiliidae.